Molecule: ribosomal RNA, 875 nt
Filed under: uncultured archaeon
Lineage: Archaea
Description: bacterial SSU rRNA
Rfam family: Archaeal small subunit ribosomal RNA
Source: RNAcentral
CGGUUGAUCCUGCCGGAGGUUACUGCUAUCGGUGUUCGCCUAAGCCAUGCGAGUCAUAUGUUCUUCGUGAACAUGGCGUACUGCUCAAUAACACGUGGAUAACCUGCCCUUGGGACCGGCAUAACCCCGGGAAACUGGGGAUAAUUCCGGAUACCGCAUAUAUGCUGGAAUGCUUUAUGCGUAAAAUGGAUUCGUCUGCCCAAGGAUGGGUCUGCGGCCUAUCAGGUAGUAGUGGGUGUAAUGUACCUACUAGCCAACGACGGGUACGGGUUGUGAGAGCAAGAGCCCGGAGAUGGAUUCUGAGACAUGAAUCCAGGCCCUACGGGGCGCAGCAGGCGCGAAAACUUUACAAUGCGGGAAACCGUGAUAAGGGGACACCGAGUGCCAGCAACAUUUGUUGGCUGUCCAGGUGUGUAAACUACACCUGUUAGCAAGGGCCGGGCAAGACCGGUGCCAGCCGCCGCGGUAACACCGGCGGCCCGAGUGGUGAUCGUGAUUAUUGGGUCUAAAGGGUCCGUAGCCGGUUUGGUCAGUCCUCCGGGAAAUCUGACGGCUUAACCGUUAGGCUUUCGGGGGAUACUGCCAGGCUUGGAACCGGGAGAGGUAAGAGGUACUACAGGGGUAGGAGUGAAAUCUUGUAAUCCCUGUGGGACCACCUGUGGCGAAGGCGUCUUACCAGAACGGGUUCGACGGUGAGGGACGAAAGCUGGGGGCACGAACCGGAUUAGAUACCCGGGUAGUCCCAGCCGUAAACGAUGCUCGCUAGGUGUCAGGCAUGGCGCGACCGUGUCUGGUGCCGCAGGGAAGCCGUGAAGCGAGCCACCUGGGAAGUACGGCCGCAAGGCUGAAACUUAAAGGAAUUGGCGGGGGAGCAC